This 457-nucleotide ribosomal RNA is filed under the name uncultured bacterium. Its description in RNAcentral is "partial 16S ribosomal RNA". It matches the Rfam family "Bacterial small subunit ribosomal RNA", at positions 338 to 795 of the family's 1533-position model. The record is from RNAcentral.
CCUACGGGUGACUGCAGUGGGGAAUAUUGCACAAUGGGGGAAACCCUGAUGCAGCGACGCCGCGUGAGUGAAGAAGUAAUUCGGUACGUAAAGCUCUAUCAGCAGGGAAGAAAUACUGACCUUACGGUCAGCAGACGGUACCUGGGUAAGAAGCCCCGGCUAACUACGUGCCAGCAGCCGCGGUAAGACGGAGGAUGCGAGCGUUAUCCGGAUUUAUGGGGUUUAAGGGGUGCGCAGGCGGAAUGUCAAAUCAGCGGUAAAAUUUCGGGGCUCAACCCCGUCGUGCCGUUGAAACUGGCGUUCUUGAGUGAGCGAGAAGUAUGCGGAAGGCGUGGUGUAGCGGUGAAAUGCAUAGAUAUCACGCAGAACUCCGAUGGCGAAGGCAGCAUACCGGCGCUCAACUGACGCUCAUGCACGAAAGCGUGGGUAUCGAACAGGAUUAGAUACCCCAGUAGUC